UCCGCAAGUAGCGUGGCAGACGGGUGAGUAACGCGUGGGUAACCUGCCCGCGGGUGGGGGAUAACCCUCCGAAAGGGGGGCUAAUACCGCAUAACAUCCCGCCCUCUUCGGAGGACGGGAUCAAAGCUAGCCUCUGCUUCGGCAUGCUGGCGCCUGCGGAGGGGCCCGCGUCCCAUUAGCUAGUUGGUGAGGUAACGGCUCACCAAGGCGACGAUGGGUAGCCGGCCUGAGAGGGUGUCCGGCCACACUGGAACUGAGACACGGUCCAGGCUCCUACGGGAGGCAGCAGUGAGGAAUCUUGCGCAAUGGGCGAAAGCCUGACGCAGCGACGCCGCGUGGAGGAUGAAGGCCUUCGGGUCGUAAACUCCUGUCGGGAGGGACGAAGGCCUCGAGGGUGAACAGCCCUCGGGGUUGACGGUACCUCCAAAGGAAGCCCCGGCUAACUCCGUGCCCGCAGCCGCGGUAAUACGG
RNAcentral lists this ribosomal RNA (471 nucleotides) under uncultured bacterium. Its description in RNAcentral is "bacterial SSU rRNA". It matches the Rfam family "Bacterial small subunit ribosomal RNA", at positions 83 to 528 of the family's 1533-position model. The record is from RNAcentral.